UAUAUGAGGUACAGGUCAGUA
Molecule: non-coding RNA, 21 nt
Filed under: Rattus norvegicus (Norway rat)
Lineage: Eukaryota; Metazoa; Chordata; Mammalia; Rodentia; Muridae
Source: RNAcentral